This 915-nucleotide small RNA is filed under the name Malus domestica (apple). RNAcentral describes it as "sRNA MD14G0068100". The record is from RNAcentral. Lineage: Eukaryota; Viridiplantae; Streptophyta; Magnoliopsida; Rosales; Rosaceae.
UCUCCUUGUCCUCAGCCACCUUCCUUUCCCCCGCCCGUAUCCUCUUUCUCCCCUUCUUCUGCACGCAGCAGCACCGUCGUCCCCCGAUCACCAACGAUCGUCAAAUUAUACCUCCAAAAUCCUUUUUCUGUCCUCCUUCCAACCCCCAAGUUAAUUUCUAUAAAUUCAUAGCCGGAUUUCCUCAAUUUCAGAUCUAAGCAACGGUGACCGCAUAUUUUUUGGCCAGUUUUCGUCCAAGCCUGGCAGAAUUGGACCUCGACCCUAGAGGUAAAGAUGAUCAUCUCUCAUUAAUGAAAGGUGCCAAAAACUCAGUUGGGUUCCCACAAUGUAAGGUCCCAUGAGGCAAAGGUUCAUAUGCAAGCAUCCGGCUUGUGACAGAUUUUAGGCAUAUUAAGGCAGUCUUAUCAGAUUUUAGUUAUCCUAAACUGUAAUCCAGUGUCACUCCGAUGGAUUGAGUUUUGUGAUCUAGCUAAACUACCCAUGAUCAAUCACAUGAACAAAUCAUACAGGUAGUGCAGAAGUUGGUUUUCUUCUUCCAUUCAUUCCUUCAUCUACAAAAGAUUAAUGUUGAGAGCUCCAAAUACUACACAUAUCAUCCGGAUUAGUUUGUUUGUGGAGCAAAGAUUGGAUGAGAUGCAAAACUGGGGAAUAUAAGCAAGGAAGAUGAUUGCAUUAUCCACCAAGCUGGAAAAAAGAGGUGAAAUCAGUUUUGCCUGGCUAUAUAUAGAGAUGCAUGGAUUGCUGAAGUUCUGUUGGAUAUAUCAGUUUUGCCUGGCUGAAGUACACGUUUUUUUAUGAGGAAAUACUUGUAUACUUUCAUUAAUGAUAUUCCACUUUUACUGUUUGGUUCAUUCUAGCAGCUGAAGUCGUUGGUUUUCAUUUUAUGAAAUUUUUUAUCUUUCGUUUUGCUUAAAU